UACAGAGGGUGCGAGCGUUAUUCGGAAUUACUGGGCGUAAAGCGUGCGUAGACGGCUUUCUAAGUCGGGUGUGAAAGCCCCGGGCUCAACCUGGGAAUUGCAUUCGAGACUGAAUAGCUAGGGUACGGUAGAGGGAAGCGGAAUUUCCGGUGUAGCGGUGAAAUGCGUAGAUAUCGGAAGGAACAUCAGUGGCGAAAGCGGCUUCCUGGACCAGUACCGACGUUCAGGCACGAAAGCGUGGGGAGCAAACAGG
RNAcentral lists this ribosomal RNA (253 nucleotides) under uncultured bacterium. Its description in RNAcentral is "partial 16S ribosomal RNA". It matches the Rfam family "Bacterial small subunit ribosomal RNA", at positions 524 to 776 of the family's 1533-position model. The record is from RNAcentral.